Molecule: ribosomal RNA, 229 nt
Filed under: uncultured bacterium
Lineage: Bacteria
Description: partial 16S ribosomal RNA
Rfam family: Bacterial small subunit ribosomal RNA
Source: RNAcentral
CGUGUAGGCGGAAUAAUAAGUCAGUGGUGAAAUCCUGCAGCUUAACUGUAGAACUGCCAUUGAUACUGUUAUUCUUGAAUAUAGUUGAAGUAGGCGGAAUGUGUAAUGUAGCGGUGAAAUGCAUAGAUAUUACACAGAACACCGAUUGCGUAGGCAGCUUACUAAGCUAUUAUUGACGCUGAGGCACGAAAGCGUGGGGAUCGAACAGGAUUAGAUACCCUGGUAGUCC